RNAcentral lists this ribosomal RNA (440 nucleotides) under uncultured bacterium. RNAcentral describes it as "partial 16S ribosomal RNA". It matches the Rfam family "Bacterial small subunit ribosomal RNA", at positions 338 to 795 of the family's 1533-position model. The record is from RNAcentral.
CCUACGGGGUGCAGCAGUGGGGAAUAUUGCACAAUGGGGGAAACCCUGAUGCAGCGACGUCGCGUGAGGAAAGAAGUAUCUCGGUAUGUAAAGCCCCAUCUGCAGGGAAGAAAAUGACGGUACCUGACUAAGAAGCCCCGGCGAACUACGUGCCAGCAGCCGCGGUAGUUCGUAGGGGGCAAGCGUUAUCCGGAUUUACUGGGUGUAAAGGGAGUGUAGACGGCCCGAAAGGUCAGAAGUGAAAGCCUUGGGGUCAACCCUGGGACUGAUUUUGAAACUGGCGGGCUGGAGUGCAGGAGAGGUAGGCGGAAUUCGUGGUGUAGCGGUGAAAUGCGUAGAUAUUAGGAAGAACACCAAUGGCGAAGGCGGCUUACUGGACUGUAACUGACGUUGAGGCACGAAAGCGUGGGGAGCAAACAGGAUUAGAUACCCGUGUAGUC